This is a long non-coding RNA of Populus trichocarpa (black cottonwood), 1443 nucleotides long. RefSeq lists it as uncharacterized. The transcript is spliced from 2 exons. Lineage: Eukaryota; Viridiplantae; Streptophyta; Magnoliopsida; Malpighiales; Salicaceae. The record is from RefSeq and is a predicted model, not a curated record.
GUAUUAAAAAAAAAAAAAACCCUAAAUCUAUCGCCAGAACAGGAGCCGUCGCCCCCUCAGAAAAAUAACCUCACCCUCGUUUCUCUUUCCUCUACCAGACCAACCUCCAUCGUUUCCCUUCUCCUUCUCCAUUGAUUCCAGCCGCCAACCCUAAAAACAUAAACAGCACAGAACAGAUCCACCAUCUUCCCUCUCUGUUACCGAUCCCAAAGACCAGCCACACACUGUCCCUUUCCCUGUGUAGCAGCAUCUCCUUCCCCCAUCAGCAGCGUCUUCUUCUCCCUCGGAAGACUACCAACAGCAACGGAGAAGCAGCACCCGCAGACCCAGCAACCAAUUUCCUUCACCACCAGCCGCAGCAGUGCCGCCCCCCUUUUCCCAGCAGGGGUGCCCUUGUCUUGAUAUGAUUUCAGAUUGGUUAAGCAAAAUAGUACUUAUAAAGAACUUGAAGAACCGCUUUUAAUUUAAGGUGAACUAUAUUUAUAAUUUUUUUUACUAUUUUUAUUUUUUAUUGCUUGAUUCAAACAGCAUAUUUGUUAUUUAUUUAUUAAAAUUAUGAGAAAAACGUUUACUGGAAAGUUUAAUCUCUUCCAUGAAUUUUAUGCUAUCAUUUUAGUUAUUUAUUUUCCCUCAUUAUUAUUUCUAAACCAUUCUUUUCUUUUAGAUUUUUUUGUUCUUUCCUGUUUGCUUAAGUAAACCCGUAACUAUACAUGUGACUAUACACACUUGAAGAACCUCCAUGUAAACUAUAUUUUUUUUCCAUUUUGUUUUUAAUUACUUGAUUCUUUCAAGCAGCGGUGAUUUUUUAAUAUUUUUUAAUUAAGUUUUUUUAUAAUAAGAAAUCAUUAUUCACCAAUAUUUAAAGGAUUUGCUACUGCUGAGUAAUGUUCCAUGCUAAUUAAGUUUUCUAUUAUAUAUAUUUUAAUUAAACUGAUUUAAAAAUUAAAUUAAAAUUAUCAAACCUAAAUUAAAAAAAAAAAACACAUGCGAUUUGCAUUGUGGUUGUGACAGUAUGCAAUUACCUCCCUACUUUGAAAAUAGGGAGGUAAUUGCAUAGCUCAAAAUGACUGUAACCUUUUUUUACAUGUAAUAAAUUAAUCAAAACUUACUUGUAAUGAAAAAUAGAAUAAAAGUACAACUGAAUCCAACCCCUUUUUUGCCUUUAUAAACACUUUAACUUAUUGCAAGAUAUAUAUACAGAGAGAGUAGCUCAAAAUUGUAAUUGGUAAGGAAAUACCACCCAACUAUAACAAAUCCUUUAAAUAUUUAUGGAUCGUGAAUUCUUAUUAUGAAAAAAUCUUAAUUGAAUAAGAAGCAAACAAUACAAACCUUAGUAACUAAUUUAAUUAACCAUGUUUUACUUGGAAGAAUCACGCAAUAAAAAAAAAAAAGAUAAAACAAAAAAAAGAUUUAUAAUUUACCUUGACGUGUUGCCUUCAAAAA